RNAcentral lists this non-coding RNA (50 nucleotides) under Roseovarius atlanticus. RNAcentral's name for it is "Guanidine-II sequence". It matches the Rfam family "Guanidine-II riboswitch aptamer (mini-ykkC)". From Rfam's summary of the family: Simpler in structure and has fewer highly conserved nucleotide positions than the ykkC-yxkD leader. Despite this each of its two stem-loop structures directly bind free guanidine. Lineage: Bacteria; Pseudomonadati; Pseudomonadota; Alphaproteobacteria; Rhodobacterales; Roseobacteraceae. The record is from RNAcentral.
CACAGAGGACGACCUCCCCAGUCGGGUUGCUUGCAUCCGGGACGGCCCGG